AUUGAACGCUGGCGGCAGGCUUAACACAUGCAAGUCGAGCGGAGAUGAGGUGCUUGCACCUUAUCUUAGCGGCGGACGGGUGAGUAAUGCUUAGGAAUCUGCCUAUUAGUGGGGGACAACAUUCCGAAAGGAAUGCUAAUACCGCAUACGUCCUACGGGAGAAAGCAGGGGAUCUUCGGACCUUGCGCUAAUAGAUGAGCCUAAGUCGGAUUAGCUAGUUGGGGGGGUAAAGGCCUACCAAGGCCACGAUCUGUAGCGGGUCUGAGAGGAUGAUCCGCCACACUGGGACUGAGACACGGCCCAGACUCCUACGGGAGGCAGCAGUGGGGAAUAUUGGACAAUGGGGGAAACCCUGAUCCAGCCAUGCCGCGUGUGUGAAGAAGGCCUUAUGGUUGUAAAGCACUUUAAGCGAGGAGGAGGCUACUGAGACUAAUACUCUUGGAUAGUGGACGUUACUCGCAGAAUAAGCACCGGCUAACUCUGUGCCAGCCGCCGCCGUAA
RNAcentral lists this ribosomal RNA (501 nucleotides) under uncultured bacterium. RNAcentral describes it as "partial 16S ribosomal RNA". It matches the Rfam family "Bacterial small subunit ribosomal RNA", at positions 30 to 523 of the family's 1533-position model. The record is from RNAcentral.